GAAUAUUGGACAAUGGGCGAAAGCCUGAUCCAGCCAUGCCGCGUGAGUGACGAAGGUCUUCGGAUUGUAAAGCUCUUUUGGCGGGGAAGAUAAUGACGGUACCCGCAGAAUAAGCCCCGGCUAACUUCGUGCCAGCAGCCGCGGUAAUACGAAGGGGGCUAGCGUUGUUCGGAAUCACUGGGCGUAAAGCGCACGUAGGCGGACUUGCCAGUCAGGGGUGAAAUCCCGGGGCUCAACCUCGGAACUGCCUUUGAUACAGCAAGUCUAGAGUCCGGAAGAGGUGAGUGGAAUUCCUAGUGUAGAGGUGAAAUUCGUAGAUAUUAGGAAGAACACCAGUGGCGAAGGCGGCUCACUGGUCCGGCACUGACGCUGAGGUGCGAAAGCGUGGGGAGCAAACAG
This 399-nucleotide ribosomal RNA is filed under the name uncultured bacterium. RNAcentral's name for it is "bacterial SSU rRNA". It matches the Rfam family "Bacterial small subunit ribosomal RNA", at positions 359 to 775 of the family's 1533-position model. The record is from RNAcentral.